RNAcentral lists this long non-coding RNA (1346 nucleotides) under Chelonus insularis. Its description in RNAcentral is "uncharacterized LOC118069595, transcript variant X1". The record is from RNAcentral. Lineage: Eukaryota; Metazoa; Arthropoda; Insecta; Hymenoptera; Braconidae.
UUAUGAUAGCUCAGGAUAAAUGAAUUUAAAACAAUUUAUUUAAAGUGCCUGCUAUUAUUCCGUUAAUUUAUUAGAUGAAUUACUUGAAAAUUGAAUAACAAAUAAUUUAAAUUUAUUAAACAUCUGUUUAAUUUUUAAUUAGCAAGACGAGCGAAUAUUUUAAACUCCAAGAAAAGAAGUUUCUGGUAAUAAAUUUUUAUAAAUGCAAGAUAAUUAUUCGGUGGAAAAGCAUCAGGUAGAUUUUUUGGAGAGUAAGAUAUAUUGUCAGCACCAUAUGUUCCCUAAAAAAAUAUAUAUCAAAUUAAUAUAGCACAUAUUUAAUCAUGAACGUUGAAGAUGAUGAUCAGAAAAAGAGCAUAGUAUCAUGGAUGAUAAGGAGGACAGUCAUCAUCAGUGAUUCCUAUCAUUUCAAUCUGGUCUCCAAUUAGACGAUAAUUUGGAUCAAAUAUUUGACAGAAUUCAGCAUCAAAACUUAUUCCAGUUUUUAUGACAAACUCUCCCAUUGAUGAUGUUAGUAAUUUGUAUGAGAACUGGAAGAAUGGAUACAUUUAUGCAAGGUGAGAAAAUAAGCUUUCGGAGGAAUGGAUUUGAUACAAUGCUCUGCUAGCAGCAGAAAUGAAUCAAUCAGACUAGGAGAUAGACAUCAUCAAGAAAGUGAUUCAAAAUGGAUGAAAAGUAUGUGAAUGAUCAAGAUAAAAAAAUAUAUCUUACUGGACCAGGAGGACAGUUGUCACCAUUAAUUCCAAUUUGUUCAAUCUGAUCUCCAACUACACGAUAAUGUGGCUCGAAUAUUUCACAUAUGUUUAUAUCAAGAGUUACUCCAGUUUUUAAGAUAAACUCUCCCAGUGUUGAUGCUAGUAAAUUGUAUGAUAACUGGAAGAAUAAAUACAUUCAUGAAGACGUUUGAUUAUUGUGAAAUUGGUGAAUAUUCCAGAAUUAUCUUCAUUGACAUAGCUUUCGAAAUAACUAAAAUAUUCAUGGUUGAUUUCGGUAGCCUCAACAUCAUAAAAUACAAUGUCAUAUGAAGACUAGAAAAAAAAUAUGAGGAUUAUCACUCGUUUAUUUUUAGACGGUACAUGAUGAAGUAAAUUUUAAACAAAUAUUAAAAAUACCUCUGCAGUAUUCAAUGGUAUUAAAUACGACAACAAGAUUAGACAAAUUAUAUUCCACAUGGUGAAGGAUUUCAAUCAUCUGGGUAGCAUGGAAAUAGAAAAGCGAUAUUUAAACAAAAUUUCCGGUAUUAUUCUAUCAUAGAAAUUUCGAUAUCAGCAACAAAUCAUUUCUCAUGACUGUGUUAAUAAUUUCUCAUAAUUAUAUAUGUUUUGUCAUAUCAUAUAAAAAUAUUU